RNAcentral lists this ribosomal RNA (467 nucleotides) under uncultured bacterium. Its description in RNAcentral is "partial 16S ribosomal RNA". It matches the Rfam family "Bacterial small subunit ribosomal RNA", at positions 28 to 506 of the family's 1533-position model. The record is from RNAcentral.
GACGAACGCUGGCGGCGUGCUUAACACAUGCAAGUCGAACGGAAAGGCCCUGCUUUUGUGGGGUGCUCGAGUGGCGAACGGGUGAGUAACACGUGAGUAACCUGCCCUUGACUUUGGGAUAACUUCAGGAAACUGGGGCUAAUACCGGAUAGGAGCUCCUGCUGCAUGGUGGGGGUUGGAAAGUUUCGGCGGUUGGGGAUGGGCUCGCGGCUUAUCAGCUUGUUGGUGGGGUAGUGGCUUACCAAGGCUUUGACGGGUAGCCGGCCUGAGAGGGUGACCGGCCAAAUGGGGACGGAGAUACGGCCCAGCCCCCUAGGGGGGGCAGCAGGGGGGAAUAUUGAACAAGGGGGGGAAGCCGGAUGCAGAACCGCCGGGGGGGGGAUGAGGCCCUUCGGGUGGUAAACCGCUCCCGCCUGGGAAGAAGGGUGGGUGGCGGUAAUGGGAAAAGAAGCACCGGCUAACUACGU